Xenopus laevis (African clawed frog) is the source of this 1192-nucleotide non-coding RNA. NCBI's taxonomy places the organism in Eukaryota, Metazoa, Chordata, Amphibia, Anura, Pipidae. The record is from the annotation of a RefSeq genome assembly.
CUUAAAGAGCUGUUUACUCAUGUUUGGUAAAGCAUUCUGCAGAAUAAAUAUAGUGUUCUAGCUUGUGGCUAAUCUAUUGGCAAUAAACUGCUUCAGUAGCUCUCCUUCUCCUUUAAAGCUAGUUCGCAAAGAAUUUAUUAACCCUUGGAACCGUAAAGGAAUGUAUUAAUAUUCUCUAUCUUUCUUGUCUAAGCCAUGUAAAUACAUUUUCCACUUGGAGUUUAGUUUUUGUUAGGUCUUUUUGUUAUCUAAACUGAAAUGUAUAGCUUUGUUAAUGUACGAACUUCGCAGUUCUGGUAGAAUCUCCUUAACAGAAGGUGAAGUGGACAAUCCAAUUUUACCCGCUUAAUAUUGAGCAUUAUUCUACACAAAGCAGAAGGUUUUACUGUGUAAAACAUUUUAUCUAUAACAAUGGCUAAAAAGCUGAGGGGGGCUUUUACACCUAGGUUCCAUCAACCCAUUAGAUACAAUGCAAUGCUCUAUCCUACAUCUAGCUGUUGAAGAAGCUGUAGCUUUGACCACAUUUUCUAAGCCCCUCCCACUAAGCAAACUGUUGCAGAUAAACCAGCAGAAGAACAGAGGCACAUUUCAUGUUUGGAGUCCCCAAAAGCAAAGAUGAGGAUUUCUGGUCUACUUGCCAUUUUCAUUACAGGAGUUAUGGGACAGUACACUGUAGAUCAGCCCAGCAAUCAGAAUGUUAUAGAAGGGAAUCCUUUUCAAAUCAACUGCUCCUAUACAGGCACCGAAAGAACCUUGCAAUGGUACCGGCAGAUUCGUAACCAACCACCACAAGCACUGCUGUUAUUAAUUAAUACUGGUUACAAAUCAGAAAAUGGUUUUACUAUGUAUUUGGACAUAAAGAGCAAGUUCACCUUUCUAUACAAGAAUACAACUCGGAUAGAAGAUUCAGCAGUAUAUCAUUGUGCACUGGAAGCACAGCAGUUUCGACUCAUACGAGCAGAGUACAAUAUCCUGAUGCAAGACAUGAGAUACCUGUUAAAUAUGGAACUAUUUUGUGACUGAGAGACAUCAUGCAUUUUAUUUCUGAAAUCAAAAGUGAUCAAACAUUAAUGACUGUGAGGAUGAUCAGACAUUUCUGUGUUACUGAUAAUUUCCAGCUUUUACCUCUGUUAUUGCAGACAUGCUAGGAGACUGCUCUCAAUAAAUAAAAUAUACAAUUCUUAUGCUCUCA